CAAUUUUCAGAUUAGAAUUUCUAACCUCAAUCUAACCUUUCAAGGAAUAAUUAAAAGACAGAGCAGAGUUAGAUAACGGAAAAUCUGAGAAAAAAACACUUAUAAAAAUUCAUCACGUCACUUUUCUAGUACUUUUAUCGAUAAAAAGAACUUGAACGUCCAUUGAGAAGAAUAAAGACGCCGAGGAUGAGAAUUAGACUCGAACUGCAUGGACGACAUUUACAUCGAUUGCAGAAGUUGGAAGGUGUGACGAGAGCCAAUAUUCUGACGUCAUACAGAUUUGAAGGUGGAGAGAGAACAAACUAACUGUAGAGACAUAGAUUUAAUCGACAAUCCCUACUUAGCCUGACUUUUCCCCUCUACUAUUCCUAAAUCAGAGUGUGACGUCAGACUCUAAAAGUCUGGAAUCCCCGUCGAUAACCCUGCAUGCAAGAUAAAAUAAAAUACAAGAGGCAGCAAACUUACGAAUUCUGUGUGGAUCGAGCAAUUACCACGGGUCCCGUAAAGUCAACGUGAUCGACUUCCGCCAAGUGGCGGUUCGGUUCCCAUGGCGAAGAUUCCUACCAAGCUUUUGUUCAUGCGGAGAAAGA
Molecule: long non-coding RNA, 590 nt
Organism: Apis dorsata (giant honeybee)
Lineage: Eukaryota; Metazoa; Arthropoda; Insecta; Hymenoptera; Apidae
Exons: 3
Source: RefSeq, a predicted model, not a curated record